UACGUAGGGUGCGAGCGUUGUCCGGAAUUAUUGGGCGUAAAGAGCUCGUAGGCGGCUUGUUGCGUCGACCGUGAAAACCCGGGGCUCAACUUCGGGCUUGCGGUCGAUACGGGCGGGCUAGAGUUCGGUAGGGGAGACUGGAAUUCCUGGUGUAGCGGUGAAAUGCGCAGAUAUCAGGAGGAACACCGGUGGCGAAGGCGGGUCUCUGGGCCGAUACUGACGCUGAGGAGCGAAAGCGUGGGGAGCGAACAGG
This 253-nucleotide ribosomal RNA is filed under the name uncultured bacterium. RNAcentral describes it as "partial 16S ribosomal RNA". It matches the Rfam family "Bacterial small subunit ribosomal RNA", at positions 524 to 776 of the family's 1533-position model. The record is from RNAcentral.